CUAAGGCUCCAGAGGAAGCCACGGCUAACUCUGUGCCAGCAGCCGCGGUAAUACAGAGGCGGCAAGCGUUGUUCGGAGUUAUUGGGCGUAAAGAGCACGUAGGCGGCCCUGAAAGUCAGUUGUGAAAGCCUUCCGCUUAACGGAAGAAUGCCAGCUGAUACUACAGGGCUUGAGUACGGGAGGGGAGAGUGGAACUUCUGGUGGAGCGGUGAAAUGCGUAGAUAUCAGAAGGAACGCCGGCGGCGAAAGCGACUCUCUGGCCCGAAACUGACGCUGAGUGUGCGAAAGCUAGGGGAGCAAACGGGAUUAGAUACCCCGGUAGUCCUAGCCGUAAA
This 335-nucleotide ribosomal RNA is filed under the name uncultured Planctomycetales bacterium. RNAcentral describes it as "bacterial SSU rRNA". It matches the Rfam family "Bacterial small subunit ribosomal RNA", at positions 473 to 806 of the family's 1533-position model. Lineage: Bacteria; Pseudomonadati; Planctomycetota; Planctomycetia; Planctomycetales. The record is from RNAcentral.